This 566-nucleotide long non-coding RNA is filed under the name Gossypium barbadense (sea-island cotton). Its description in RNAcentral is "long non-coding RNA (GBAR_LNC003492)". The record is from RNAcentral. Lineage: Eukaryota; Viridiplantae; Streptophyta; Magnoliopsida; Malvales; Malvaceae.
UUGUUGCUUCGAUCUAAUUUGUAGCUUUAAUCUCCUUCGCAAGGGAACGAAAUUUAUGUUUUCAGUCUGUUCCACUGCAACAUCAGGGAGAUAAGAUCUCUGGCUUCAAUCUGAUGUGAUCUACUCUACUGUAACUUCAGAGAGAUAAGAUCCUUUAUUUUAAUCCGCUCCACUGUAACUUCAGAGAGAUAGGAUUACUAGCUUCAAUCUACUCCGCUGUAAUUUCAGAGAGAUAAGAUCUCUGGCUUCAAUCUGCUCCACUGUAACCUCAGGGAGAUAAGAUCUGAAAUUUUUCGGUCUGUUCCACUGUAAUCUCAGGGAGAUAAGAUCUCUGGCUUCAAUCUGAUGUGAUCUACUCUACUGUAACUUCAGAGAGAUAAGAUCCUUUAUUUUAAUCCGCUCCACUGUAACUUCAGAGAGAUAGGAUUACUAGCUUCAAUCUACUCCGCUGUAAUUUCAGAGAGAUAAGAUCUCUGGCUUCAAUCUGCUCCACUGUAACCUCAGGGAGAUAAGAUCUGAAAUUUUUCGGUCUGUUCCACUGUAAUCUCAGGGAGAUAAGAUCUCUA